This is an RNA transcript of Octodon degus (degu), 623 nucleotides long. The record is from RefSeq and is a predicted model, not a curated record. NCBI's taxonomy places the organism in Eukaryota, Metazoa, Chordata, Mammalia, Rodentia, Octodontidae.
AUGCCUAAAUCAAAGGAACUUGUUUCUUCAAGCUCUUCAGGCAGUGAUUCUGACAGUGAAGUUGACAAAAAGUUAAAGAGGAAAAAGCAAGUUGCUCCAGAAAAGCCUGUAAAGAAGCAGAAAACUGGUGAGACUUCAAGGGCUCUGUCAUCUUCUAAGCAGAGCAGCAGCAGCAGAGAUGAUAACAUGUUUCAGAUUGGGAAAAUGAGAUAUGUCAGCGUUCGGGACUUUAAAGGGAAAGUUCUAAUUGAUAUUAGAGAAUAUUGAAUGGACCCAGAGGUGAAAUGAAACCAGGAAGAAAAGGUAUUUCUUUAAAUCCAGAGCAGUGGAGCCAGCUGAAGGAGCAGAUUUCUGACAUUGAUGAUGCAGUAAGAAAACUGUAGAAUCUGAGCCAUAAAAACCUGUAGUGUUGUAGUUGUUUUACUCUGUCUUUUUACAUUGGCUUUUGUUUUCUAAACGUUGUUUUCCAAGCUGUUGUAUAUUUGAAUUGCAGAACAAUUUGUAAGAUGAAUACUUUUUAAAAUGUGCAUUAUUAAAAAUGUUCAGAGUGAAGCUAAUUGUCAACUUUAUUAAGGAGGAUUGCUUUGUGCCCACCACCUAGUGUAAAAUAAAAUCAAGUAAUU